This is a long non-coding RNA of Onychostoma macrolepis, 1240 nucleotides long. RefSeq lists it as uncharacterized. The record is from RefSeq and is a predicted model, not a curated record. The transcript has 3 exons. Lineage: Eukaryota; Metazoa; Chordata; Actinopteri; Cypriniformes; Cyprinidae.
AGAUUCAGUUCAGCUGACAGUUUCAGAAGAAGAUUCAGCUGACAGUCAUUUCAUUAUCACGUGAACUCUGAUUCUAUUUAUUUUUUCCCCAGAAUUCUUACAAUAGAAUCAGAAAUGACUGAGGAAACGAGGAAAGACCCAAACUCCCCACCUGUAUACAAGUGUUAUUAGAUGCUCAUGGAUCUUGUGGACAUGAAUCUCUGUGUUUUAAAUGAAAAGAUCCUUCUGAUCUUGACAAAUCCAUCAUAAAAACACUGAAAGAGCUCGCUGGAGGCAAACAUCAGCUGAUUUUUCAAGGGGAAAAACUGAAUGUUGCUGAAAAAGAAGCUGCAAAACUGUAUAUGAAGCAAUUCACUGAGGUUGUAUGUAAUGAUUUUAGUCAAUUGUUCAGUUCAGAGACUUUCGGUAGGUUGAAUUGUCUGUACAAUUGAUUAGUAUAUCAUACUUCUUUUUUGAUUUUCUAUCCAGAUUAAUGCGUAAACCGAGAAAUGCUUUACUCUUAAAGGGUUAGUUCACCCAAAAAAUUCUGUCAUUAAUUACUCACCCUCAUGUCGUUCCAAACCCGUAAGACCUUCGUUCAUCUUUGAGAUUUCUGUCCCUCCAUUAAAAGUCAAAAACUCACCUAAUCCUCUGAUGCUUCAAAACAUUUAUAAAUAGAUCAUAAAAUGAAAUCCAUAUGAAUCGACAGUGUUUACAUGAACACACCAAGCCAAUCAUUUUGAUAUAUUUUUAAGAAAUGAAAAAAGAGCACAGUUUUAAAGGAAAGCAACUGAAUGUUUCACAAUAAUCGGUUUGUCUCUAUUAUCGUGUUUUCAUAAUUGACGAAAGCCAAACUCGAAAUCUAAACAAAAAUUUGAUUCAGAACACAGCCCUUAUUUAAAGCAUAAAUGCUGAAGUGAAACCUAUGAUGAAACAUCAAAAAUCAUCUCCAAAAAACCAUAUAGUCAACUGAAAAACAAGAUACAGAAUAUAGAACAAUAUCAUUUACUAAAUUUAAGAACCACUGUUUGUAUUUGCAUUUCAGAUCUUUGCUUGAGCAUUUGUAGAUGGAAGACAAAUCAAGAUCAUUUUAAUGAGAUCUGAGAGAUUUCUGUCCCUCCUUUGAAAGCCUGUUCACUCAAAAGUCUCAUUCUUCAAAACAUUUAUAAGGAGAUGUGUUAGAUUUUGCUGUAUUUGGCUGAGCUGUGGUUUGGGUGGUUCGCCAAUGUACUAGAUUUCUCUAAUACCCUUAAUAAGUAAG